GCCGAGGUGGCGAAAUUGGUAGACGCACUGGUCUUAGGAACCAGCGGAGCAAUCCAUGAGAGUUCGAGUCUCUCCCUCGGCACCA
This 85-nucleotide transfer RNA is filed under the name Candidatus Altimarinota bacterium. RNAcentral describes it as "tRNA-Leu". It matches the Rfam family "tRNA". Rfam says of the family: Transfer RNA (tRNA) molecules are approximately 80 nucleotides in length. Their secondary structure includes four short double-helical elements and three loops (D, anti-codon, and T loops). Further hydrogen bonds mediate the characteristic L-shaped molecular structure. tRNAs have two regions of fundamental functional importance: the anti-codon, which is responsible for specific mRNA codon recognition, and the 3' end, to which the tRNAs corresponding amino acid is attached (by aminoacyl-tRNA synthetases). tRNAs cope with the degeneracy of the genetic code in two manners: having more than one tRNA (with a specific anti-codon) for a particular amino acid; and 'wobble' base-pairing, i.e. permitting non-standard base-pairing at the 3rd anti-codon position. Lineage: Bacteria; Candidatus Altimarinota. The record is from RNAcentral.